AGACAAGCAGCUGCAAGGUAAUCUGUCAAUUUAUCCGUCAACGAAACUUUUACUAGGUUAAAGGAACGUUCGCUUCGAAAAACCACGGUUAUAUAUUCUUCUUUUCCCAAAGGCUGUGACUCGUCGCAUCGCUGGUUCUGUCAGAAGAAGAUGGUGUGUCGUCGUUCAGUCUCGAUUCAAAUGGGCUCGGCGUAUCGCGAUCGCGCGUAUCAGCUUCUGUUUCCACGACGUACGACUCCGUUUCCCAUGAAUAACGCAUUUCCACGGGAAAUCGAUAUGCAGAUUGCGAAGUAUACCCCACGUACAACGUUUCUCUUCUCCAUUUCUCCUGUGCAUCUCUUUCGAAGCACCGCUAGCUACGUGGCCAACGUUGGAUUUGGGUCAGUAGAAAAGCGCAUCUCUGCUGAUUCUCUCGACUCCGCUGUCACGGGAUCUAUCGAUCCAGGGACUCCAAAAAAAAAAAAAAAAGAAAAAAAAGAAAUGAACGGAUGGAACGUACGAUUGUAAGAGCAAUGUGCUACGUGAGCAUUGAAUUGAAUCAUCUUAUUGUUGAUAUACAGAGUGCAGAGGAAUUUUAAAGGAGAGUACAAAACCUUUGCAAACUCUAAUGCCUAUUACGAUUCCUACUUGAAAUGAAAAACCUAAGUGUUUCAGAACGACGAUUCCGUGACGCGUAGCUACUAAAUCCAUGGAAACUUGAUAACGGUUAAAGAGGGCCGGCCAAGUAAAUUCCUUUGAGUAAUUAACGUAUUCCCAAGCUCUGAAGCAGGGAGGAAGGGAAAGAAGAGGGCUGCAGGAGGGUAAAAGCGCGAUUCCAUUUUGCAUGGCGAAUGCUAGAACUUGUCUAGUCUAUGGUUCGUGGUCUUACGUGUGCAACAACAUCUAGUUGUAUCGAAACUGGGUCGCAGUUCCUAGCUUGCUAUCAGAUAUACAGAAUGUUUCAAAAGUAGCGCAUACUAACGAAAACGCUUAUUUAAGAAAAUUUUUGAAAACUUUGCAUUCCGAAACUUAAGGACUUAAGUUUUAGAACUAUUAAAUUUAGAAAUUUUACAAGUCAGUUUUGAAAUUUUGAAACUAUUUUCCUUUCGAUUUUGAGAGUGCAUUUGAACAUUAACAUAGGACAACAGGAGUACUCAAUUUUCAAUUUUAAACCACAAAUUGCAAAAUGGUAGAGAAACUUUCAAUUUUAUUUUUACACGAAGAAAAUAUAGCUUUUAUUUUGGUACACUCUGUAUGUAUGUUUAACAUUCUUCUCAUUGACCCUACGCCAGCUAAAUUCUCGCGAAUAAUUCUGGGCAAACAGCCUCAUUUCAUGUCACGAUACUAGCGAAUCACGCUUUCAACGAAUGCUACUUUUCCCAGGGUUUGUUGGGUAUUUUCGUGACCCAGGAUUUGUAACUCCGUUUGCAAGAGAUUGGAUGCUUUCAAAUUAGAUUUAAGUAGAUUUAAGUGGAUUUUGUAAGGAAGAAUGAAUUGCUACGAAAAUUAUAUUUGAAAAUUUAUAAUU
Non-coding RNA from Osmia lignaria (orchard mason bee), 1507 nucleotides. The record is from RefSeq and is a predicted model, not a curated record. Lineage: Eukaryota; Metazoa; Arthropoda; Insecta; Hymenoptera; Megachilidae.